Molecule: long non-coding RNA, 460 nt
Organism: Scophthalmus maximus (turbot)
Lineage: Eukaryota; Metazoa; Chordata; Actinopteri; Pleuronectiformes; Scophthalmidae
Exons: 4
Source: RefSeq, a predicted model, not a curated record
UGCGAUCAUGCAGUAUGAGCGUGACGUCAACCAUGCGCACAACCCGUAUAAAUACGCUGUCGCUGGACUCUGACGUACUACAGGGACACGGCGGGUUAGCAGUCGCCUUCCCUCUUCGACAUGAGAGCUAAGUGGAGAAAGAAGCGCAUGCGCAGGCUGAAGCGCAAAAGGAGAAAGAUGAGGCAGAGGUCCAAGUAAACUGCCCUCUCUGCCGUGGCUGUGACAUCAAAUUGACAGCCCGGAGACCAGGACGCCUCCCAGCGUGACGGUCUGAGGCCAGCGGUGUCCAAAUCCACCUGAUGCAGUGGCAGCUGACUGAUGCUGGGAGCUGAUCCAAGACCCGCUGGAUUUCGGGCUUCUCCUCUGGGACAUUCUGGACUCCUUGUUUUCAAUUCCUCAACUUUUGUCAUUUUGUUUUUGUUUAUACUCUGAUUAAAGGUUUUGGUUUAAAAAAAAUAAA